Molecule: ribosomal RNA, 293 nt
Filed under: Shigella flexneri
Lineage: Bacteria; Pseudomonadati; Pseudomonadota; Gammaproteobacteria; Enterobacterales; Enterobacteriaceae
Description: partial 16S ribosomal RNA
Rfam family: Bacterial small subunit ribosomal RNA
Source: RNAcentral
AAACGGUAGCUAAUACCGCAUAACGUCGCAAGACCAAAGAGGGGGACCUUCGGGCCUCUUGCCAUCGGAUGUGCCCAGAUGGGAUUAGCUAGUAGGUGGGGUAACGGCUCACCUAGGCGACGAUCCCUAGCUGGUCUGAGAGGAUGACCAGCCACACUGGAACUGAGACACGGUCCAGACUCCUACGGGAGGCAGCAGUGGGGAAUAUUGCACAAUGGGCGCAAGCCUGAUGCAGCCAUGCCGCGUGUAUGAAGAAGGCCUUCGGGUUGUAAAGUACUUUCAGCGGGGAGGAA